UAUUUUAAACAAAUUUAAGAUUAGGUAUUAAUUACGGGCCGAAAUCUUUAUUAAUUUACAAAAUUUUAAUUAUACAUAUUAUUUUAAGUAAAAUAAGUUUAUUAUCUUAUAUAUAAUUUAUAAUAUAUAGUGCCGAAAUAGCGUUGUUCAAAUUUUAUUAAUAAGAGUUGCGAUUUAAAAGUAAGCCAAUGGGAUUACCAACCCUAUACCGAGUUGAGAAUCUAAUUAAAACUGCAUUUAAAUACAAAGCCAAAAAUAAUUUAUAUGCAAAUAAAGGUAUUUUUUUAAAACCUUAUACAAAUUAGUUUUUCGGAAAUUCACUUGCGGUACCGGAAACCCUUCUGGCAUGCCGAUCCCCACUUGGAUAUCGGAGGAUAUAUAAAGAAAAUAAAGCAAAAUUUUGCCCAACCAAUAUAAUUACGUGUUUUAAAUUUUAAAACAUUGUACCUUAUAUUUACAAGGUUUUCCUAUUACCGUUACAGCGUUUCUAAUAUUGGGUAUUAACCACGCCACAUUAAAAAUUAAACCCCAAACCCCUUUUAAUACAUUUAUUAGUAAUAUAAAUAAAAACAGACAAUAUAAAUGUAAAAAAAACAUGGACGCCGGAUUUAUUUUAUAGUAUUAAUAAGCAAAUGCGUUUUAUAAGAAUACCAAACGACAAACGUAACAAGUUUAAACACCAAUUAAUAUAACAAAUAAAUGACUUAAUAUUGUAAAAUUACCCGCGCCGAACAGAAAUUGCAACUGCAAUAUUAAUUAACUAUUACUGCCUGCUAAUAGUAUAAUUAUUAGACAGUUUUAUAUAAAAUUAUAAUAUAUAUAAACGGUGUAAAAUAUAAAGAAAGUAUAGAAAAACUAUUUUAUUUUUACCAGUAUCGGAACGUUAACUAAUAUAUAUAUAUAUAUUAUGACAAAUUGUUUACUAUUGCGCGGUAAUAUGUCUGCUGGGGCUAUUUAGUACUAUAUAUUUAAAUAGAAUUAUAAACAGUUUGUAUUAAUAAUAAAUAUAUAAAUACGCGCAAAUUGUAUUUUGAUUUGCCAUUUAGAAAUAAUUAAUUAAUACGACUUUAUUAAUGCGAAUAGGCAGGCAAAUUACAUUUUACGGUUUUUAACGGAUUAAACCAAUUUAUGAAAUAUAUAUGCAAAUUUAAUACUAUUUAUUAUAUAUAAAGUAACGGCAUUAUAAAGAAAAAGAAUAUAGACGUAUAAAUAAUACUAAUAAUAUAUAUAUUAAUUGACCUUAUUUAAUUAAAGCAAAUAAAUCCCUGCGGUAUAUCUCGUAUUUAAUUUGGAAAUAAAUUAUAUAAAUAGAAUAAUUUCCUUUUUAUUAUAUAAAAGGAGUUUUCAUCCAACAUAUACCGUUUUAUAUUAAAUUAUAAUUACUUAGGCUUUUUACCAACUUAUUAUAGCAAAGAUUUUGUAACUUGUUUAAUUAAAUUCAUUUGAUUUUAUUACGUAAAAUGAAAUAUAAUCAAGGAAAAUAAAAGCAAAACGCAAAUAAAACCUCAUAGUAAAUAUAAUAAUUACGCCUAAAGGAUGAAAUAUAUUUAAAUUUAAAAAUAUUAAUAUUACGGGUUUACAAAUUUCAAUUUAUUAGUAAAAAUAAAAUACAUAUUUUCCACAAUAUUAAAACCAAAUACAGACGAAUUAGCAUAUAUAUUAGCAAAUAUAUAAUUAUCCUUAAAUAAAUAAGUUAAAAAUAGCUAAUAUAGGUUCGAUAUUUGGUUAGUAAGUCUAAUGUUUAAUUUGUAUUAACUUUUGUUCAAAAAAUUCAAAUGCAACAAAUUAAAACCAUUUGCACUUGAAAACCAGAGAAAAAUAUUUUUCAAGAUAUUAAAUAUAAACUAAAAAUACUUAUAAAUUUAGUUUGGCAAUUUUCCAAUUUGCUGCCAAAAUAUAAUAUUAAUAAAUAAUAUAAAAUAUAAAACUGUUUUUCCUAAUAAUGACGGCGAUUGAAAUACGAAAGUUUUAAAUUGCAACUAAAAGAUUAUAAUUGGUUAACGUAAUUAUAAAUUCUAAAAUAAUAUAAUUACACAAAAAUAAACGAUUGUAAAUAUAAACUCAAAUAACUUGAUUGUAAAAAUCGUUUAUUUAGGCAACCGUCAAUAGAAUAAAACAUAACGUAAUAAUUAUUUUUCCGAACAAGUUUGUUUUUUACUUUCAAAUUGGCGCUAAAACUUUCCGUUAAUUGCGCUUGAAAUUGACCUAAUUUUGCAAGUAAAACAAAAUAAAUUAAACUAUUAGAGUUCCGAGAAACUUUCCCUGCAUGGCGAAAUGAAAUAAAAGAAUAUUAUAUGGGAAAUAUAUAGUUUGUUUCUAUUAUAUAUUUGCUUGACGAUAUAAUAAAUAAAAUAAUAAAACAAAAGGUUUUAUAAUACCUGCACUUAGCAAAUACCUCGUCUGUUCUAAUUGUAAAACCUUGUUAUACGCACGUAAUAACUUUGUUUAUAAUAUUUUUCUGUACCGCACAAAUAUUAUCCCUCGCCCCGCCCCCCAUAUAAAACCCAAUUUAACAACCGCAUUUUUAAUAUUAUUUUAAUUAUUCCCUACCGUUAUUAAAUUAUCUUUCGGUAACGUUACCCCGAAAUAAAAAAGUUCCCUUUAAUAAACGACCGCAAGUUGUUAAAAGCCAGAUUUAUAUAGAUAUUAAACAUAUUUUCCAACGCGGAAAUACAAAUUUCAAAGCAAGAAAUACCAAAUUAGUAAAACCUGGCAGAAACAUGUAAAUAAACUUUUGCAUUAUUUUAAAAUAAUAUAAUUAUUAAUAUUUAUAAGAGUAAUAAUUCGCGGAAGAAUAAAGAACAAACUUUGGCAAUACGGCGGCCUAAAUUAAUUAUACAAAACAGUAUCAAAAUUAAAUAAUCUCGCGGAACCUAAAAUAAAAGUUAUAUGAGAAUAUAAAGGAAUUAUUUGUAAUUUAUUAAUUAUUAACCAAAAUAAUUAUUUCGAGGGCUGUAAGACACGCCUAAUAUUUAAAUUCUUUCAUAAUAAAUUAAAUAGCUUUUCGCGGAAAAUUAUUCAACGUAUUCCAAAAAUAUACUAAGCAACGUUAAUAAAAAUAGUAUAGUACGCCAAAUAACUUUUAAUUUUAAUUGUUAUUCUGGGCGGGCUUUGAAAAGGAUAAAAAACACUGAUUAAUAUUUGUACCGUCGUCCGAAUACCUGCUUGCAUUAAAAUUACAAAGAACGUCUUACAAUUAAUAAUAUUUAAAACUAAAACAUAUGGUAAAAUUAUAAAAUUUAUAAACCAACAAAUUAUAAAAUAUAUUAAAAUUUUAAUUAUUAAGCUUUAAUAAUGGCGGUCAAUUAAUUGGAAAUUCAAAACAUUAAACCAAAACAAUUCGAAAUCAAAAUGUAACAAUCGCGAAGAUAUUAUAUUAAAAAGAAUAAAUCAAAUUAUAUUGGGUUGAAAAUUAAUUAGCUCCCGGAAUAAGCAAAUAAUAUAAAAGCUCCCGACGUUUAUAUAACGGAACUGACAAACGGUAAUAUAGAAAUAUAAUAUACUGCCUUGUAAUAUUUUAAAUGCAUUUAAAAUUAAUAUGACAAAAUUAAAUUGAAAUUAUAUAUUUACUAACUGAAACUGCACCCGCGCAAAGAUUAUAACAAAAUUAAUAAAUAUUAAUGCGGACAAAGAAAUUACACUAAAUAGAAUAUUACUAACGUAAGCGGCCCCUUAGUAAAUAAUUAUAAAUAUAGUAAAAUAGUGGUUUAUAAAUUUUAUUAAUAUAUUCGGGAACCAAAAUAAAAGCAAAUAUUAAAUUUCGGGGGAAAAUAAUAUAUGUGCCACCGGAAUUAAAGAGGUUUCCGAAAUAACUAAUAAUAUUAUUUUAAAGUCCGGGUAUAAUCCACGUUUUGAAAGGCAGAUUUAAAUAAACUAGGCAAUAUUAUUAGAGAAUUAACCAUUAAAUAUUAGACCCGAUAAUUUAUCAAUUUUCCUACGUUAAUUAAAAUGUACCACCUUUACACAUUUUCUGCGAAAUAUAUAACAAAAUAUAUAAUUCAAUUUGCAAAAUAUAUUUUAAAUAGUUUUCAUGCUGUAAAAUUAUAAUUUUAUUAGUUGCAGUUAACAUAUAAUAUUAAUAUAAAAGGCUUCUGCUAGAUAAUUUAUUAACUUAUAUAAUAUUAAUUUGCAAAUUUGCAAAAAAGAUUAUAUAUAAUGUUUUUAUCCCGAACAUUUAAAAAACAUAGCCAUUAAAAUUUAACGAUUCCAAAGAAAGUUUUACAGAUUUGCAAAAGGGAAAAUUUAAUUUGAAACAAAAGUUUAAUUUUAAAUUUAUAACGGAUGUAAUUAACGCCAAAACUUAAGACUGACUUAAGUAUACUUUUUUAAUAUUUACGAUUGUAAUAAACCUUUGGGUUAUUUUAAAUAUAUAUUAUUCCCCACAAUAUAUAAUAGUAUGGAAGUUUUAUCCAAGAUUCGAAACAAUAAAGGUUUUGGUAUUUUUAAACUCGAAAAUAUGAAAUUCAAAAAUUUGAUUCGCAGUUUCAAAACCCAUAUAUGGUAAAUAUUAAUUAUAUAUACUACUCUUUCUAAUGUUAGGCCGCAAACCAAAUUUUAGACAAAUCAAAAAAAUCGCGAACCCAAUAUUGAAAAAAGAGUUCUCAAAUACUUUAAAAUAUUUGGAAUAUUAAAACCGUAAACAGUUCCAGAAUUCGAGCUCGAAUAAUUUAACUUAACAUGAACCCUUUAUUUUUAUCUACAAACUUGCCGUACGCGCUAAAUUAAAAACUACUUUUCCCCAACUAAUAUUUAAAAUUGAAAAAAUUAGAUUUCAAAAAUAUAAAUUGAAAUUUGUUAUUAGGGGGUUUUAACAGGUGGGAAGUUUAAACUGCUUUGAAGAUUUUAAUAAUAUAAACAUAUUAUUUACUUUCCAUAUUUUGUUAAUUAUAAUUAUUAUAUAAGACUGGGAAAUAAUAUAAUUUAUUCUUAUAAAUAUAUGUUUAAUAUUAAAUAUAUAAUAUUAUUCGAAGUUUUAAUUUUAACUUUAACCGCAAAUUUAUAAUUAUAUUUGGGAAAAACCGCACGAGGACCCAAUUAUAAUAAUAUUAUAUAUUUCUUUUCGUUUUGGCAAUAUUUAAAAGUUAAAUGUUAGAACGAAAUAUAAAUAUAUUAAAUAUAAACUUACAAUUAAAUUCGGCAAAAGGUUUGCUAUAUUACUUAUAAAUAGUACUACUAUUUCAAUAAUUUAAAUAAAAACAAACUAAUAAACAAACGCAAAUCGUCCUAAUAUUGCUCAGGUGUUUCAAAUUGCCAAAAACAUGGAUUAAUUAAAGUUUCGACUACCCUCGGCCCAAAAUCCGGCAGAUUUCGGACUUAGGCACUAGGGUAGGUCCUCUGGUGGAUCUAAGAUAAUCUCCUUCUAGGAAAUUACCUAAUUACUAAAAUUCCUCUCCUUAAUACCCGAGGACCCCCCAGGGAUAUUCAAGACAUUUGCCUAUUUAAACCCUUUUGGAAAAAGGAAAAAAAACACAGACCAAAUAAUUAUACCUCGGUUUAAUAGGAAACCCCGCGCGUAAUAAUAAUGUUAAUUCUAGCCCCUAAAUCCAACACCUGUUUAUCCUCGUAAUUACUAUUUUCGUAACUUUUAUCGUCUGAAAAGAACAAAAUAAAAGAAACAGUAAAUAUAUUCCGGGCUAUAAUUAUAAUCCUUCGGUAACUAUUUUACAAAUUAUAUAUUAUUUUUGGUGAUAGGCCUUUCGUAAAUCUAUCGAUUAAGAAAACGUUGUUAUUGGGUAAAAGGUAAUAUAUUCUUAUUAAACCACUAAUUUAUCUACGUUCGAACUUCUAAUCGUCUUUUUCCUUUUAUA
Molecule: small RNA, 5807 nt
Filed under: Pyricularia oryzae
Lineage: Eukaryota; Fungi; Ascomycota; Sordariomycetes; Magnaporthales; Pyriculariaceae
Description: Magnaporthe oryzae sRNA M_BR32_EuGene_00030851
Source: RNAcentral